RNAcentral lists this ribosomal RNA (468 nucleotides) under uncultured Geothrix sp. RNAcentral describes it as "bacterial SSU rRNA". It matches the Rfam family "Bacterial small subunit ribosomal RNA", at positions 335 to 796 of the family's 1533-position model. Lineage: Bacteria; Pseudomonadati; Acidobacteriota; Holophagae; Holophagales; Holophagaceae. The record is from RNAcentral.
GGCCUACGGGUGGCAGCAGUGGGGAAUUUUGCGCAAUGGACGAGAGUCUGACGCAGCAACGCCGCGUGGGUGAUGAAGGUCUUCGGACUGUAAAACCCUGUCGUCAGGGACGAAGGUGGCGGAGUUAAUAGCUCCGUUACUUGACGGUACCUGGAGAGGAAGCCCCGGCUAACUCUGUGCCAGCAGCCGCGGUAAUACAGAGGGGGCAAGCGUUAUUCGGAAUUAUUGGGCGUAAAGGGCGCGUAGGCGGUUUUUUAAGUCAGAUGUGUAAUCCCCGGGCUCAACCUGGGAACUGCAUCUGAGACUGGAAGGCUAGAGUACUGGAGAGGGUGGUGGAAUUCCUCGUGUAGCGGUGAAAUGCGUAGAGAUGAGGAGGAACACCAGUGGCGAAGGCGGCCACCUGGACAGUAACUGACGCUGAGGCGCGAAAGUGUGGGUAGCAAACAGGAUUAGAUACCCUGGUAGUCU